Molecule: ribosomal RNA, 723 nt
Filed under: Triticum aestivum (bread wheat)
Lineage: Eukaryota; Viridiplantae; Streptophyta; Magnoliopsida; Poales; Poaceae
Description: partial small subunit ribosomal RNA
Source: RNAcentral
AUGUUUGGGAUAAUGUUGGUAGUUAUUGAGUUUGCUUCUGAUGUAGGUGAAGAUGACUGGAAAAAAUUUCACUCAUUUCUCACAAGAAUUGGCAGAGGAAGUAAGAUCAUCAUUGUAAGUAAAAUUAAAAGAAUAGCCCGGUUUGGAACGGUGAAAGAAAUUUCACUAAGUGGGUUAUCUCAUGAUGAGUUGAGGUACCUUUUCAAAGCACUCGCAUUCGGAAGCGUAGAGCCAACAGAACAUCCGCGGCUAGUACAGAUAGCAGAUGACUUUGCCACAGUGAUCCACAAUUCGCUAGUUUCACUUGUCGCAACAAAUAUGUUCACGGAUGUGUUGAGAAGCAACCUCAAUGUUCAGUUUUGGCGUUGUAUAUUGGACAAGGCGGCAAGAAUGGUUAAGAGAAACAUUUCAAUAUAUGGGGUGAACCCAACCAUGCGUAUAGAACAAGGUCGCCAAGUGGACAUAACAGAUAUUGCUUUGCAUCCACUUAGCUUAAAAUUUUAUAGUGUUAAUGCUUCAAUCAAGACGGAAUUGCCAAGUGUGACAUUUGGGAAACUUAUAAAAGAUCCUAGUGUUAGGCCGAAAGGAGACUUCAUUCUAAUGGCAUGGGAAUCAAGGAUAUCCCCUUAUAAAUUAUUUCCUAGUUAUGUUACAAGUCAUGCUCAGGAUACAGAUCAAAGUAGUGCCUUGCCAGGGAGGAAGCGACAAGGUGUGCCAAUCUAA